Molecule: long non-coding RNA, 759 nt
Organism: Polypterus senegalus (gray bichir)
Lineage: Eukaryota; Metazoa; Chordata; Cladistia; Polypteriformes; Polypteridae
Exons: 3
Source: RefSeq, a predicted model, not a curated record
GAAAGAAAGAAAGAAAGAAAAAUGAGCUGACCAAUGAGAAGUCCCCCAGCGAUGGCCGAUUCCGCCCUCACGGUGCAGUUAAAGGAGGUUGCUUAUCUACAUCCAGAGACGCGCUCCUCUCCCAAUUUCCAAGAAGAGGAGGGAAGGCACACACAUGGCGUUGCCGAUAAAGUUUGCCCCCUGCUAGCACCAGCACCCAGAUCGCACAAAUGCCGAACCCAAAGAAGACAAAUAAUAAUUCCACGCACUUACCUCCAUGACUUCCGGAUUCUCAAAAUGGCCACUCCACAUCAAUUCCGUUUCUGGCUCUGGAAGAGGACGUCAUUUCCAGUCCCACCGUGAUGAUGUCACUUUUUUCCGGCUUCCAUUGAUGACGUCACUUUUCCAGUCCCACCAUGAUGACGUCACUUCCGGGCUCCCACUGAUGACAUCCCUUCCGGUCCCGGCAUGAUGACAUCACUUUCCGGGCUCCCAUUGAUGAUGCCACUUUCCAGUCCCGCCAUGAUGACAUCACUUUUUUCCAGCUCCCAUUGAUGACAUUACUUUUUUCAGUCGCGCUAUGAUGACGUUACUUCUGGGCUCUCAUUAAGGACGCCACUUUUUCCAGUCCCGGCAUGAUGAUGUCACUUCCGUCUUCUUCUUGAUGACAUUCACUUCCGGUUCCGCCAUGAUGAUAUCACUUCCGAUGUUCUGUUUUGGUGUCUUUUCCUGCCAACUCACAUCCUGUUUGCCAUUUUGUGUAUAAAUAUGUCAAUUUCA